RNAcentral lists this ribosomal RNA (246 nucleotides) under uncultured bacterium. Its description in RNAcentral is "partial 16S ribosomal RNA". It matches the Rfam family "Bacterial small subunit ribosomal RNA", at positions 1246 to 1500 of the family's 1533-position model. The record is from RNAcentral.
CGAGCUACCUGGUGACAGGAUGCGAAUCUCGAAAGCCGGUCUCAGUUCGGAUUGGAGGCUGAAACUCGCCUCCAUGAAGUUGGAUUCGCUAGUAAUCGCGCAUCAGCCAUGGCGCGGUGAAUACGUUCCCGGGCCUUGUACACACCGCCCGUCAAGCCAUGGGAGUUGGGGGUGCCUGAAGUACGUGACCGCAAGGAGCGUCCUAGGGCAAAACCGAUGACUGGGGCUAAGUCGUAACAAGGUAGC